GAUCCUGGCUUAGGAUGAACGCUAGCUACAGGCUUAACACAUGCAAGUCGAGGGGCAGCAUUGGGAUAGCUUGCUAUUCAGAUGGCGACCGGCGCACGGGUGAGUAACGCGUAUCCAACCUUCCUGCCAGUAGGGAACAGCCCGGCGAAAGUCGGAUUAAUGCCCUAUGUUCUUCAAUGCGGACAUCUAAGUUGAAGGAAAGAUUCAUCGCUGGCAGAUGGGGAUGCGUCCGAUUAGCUUGCCGGCGGGGUAACGGCCCACCGGGGCGACGAUCGGUAGGGGUUCUGAGAGGAAGGUCCCCCACACUGGUACUGAGACACGGACCAGACUCCUACGGGAGGCAGCAGUGAGGAAUAUUGGUCAAUGGGCGUAAGCCUGAACCAGCCAAGUAGCGUGCAAGGAUGACGGCCCUACGGGUUGUAAACUGCUUUUAUGCGGGGAUAAAGUGCGGCACGUGUGCCGCUUUGCAGGUACCGCAUGAAUAAGGACCGGCUAAUUCCGUGCCAGCAGCCGC
Molecule: ribosomal RNA, 514 nt
Filed under: uncultured bacterium
Lineage: Bacteria
Description: bacterial SSU rRNA
Rfam family: Bacterial small subunit ribosomal RNA
Source: RNAcentral